GUCACUGAUGAGUCUUUUGUAGACGAAACACGCGUCUGACGUAAAUAUUAAAUUUUAUUCCUGGUAUCUAUGAGGAGUUUAUCAGCUGUCGAUGGUGGUUAGAAAGAAAAUAGAAAUUAAUUGUUUUUCUUUGAACGAUUUUUUUUUUCAUUUUUUUUUUUAUCUCACUAACAAACUAUUUUUCAAAAGUAAACAGGAUCAGGA
RNAcentral lists this long non-coding RNA (204 nucleotides) under Mytilus galloprovincialis (Mediterranean mussel). The record is from RNAcentral. Lineage: Eukaryota; Metazoa; Mollusca; Bivalvia; Mytilida; Mytilidae.